UGAGCAAUCUGCCCUUCUCAUCGGAAUAAGCGUUGGAAACGACGUCUAAUGCCGAAUACGACCUCCUUUCGCAUGAUCGGAGGUGGAAAGCUCCGGCGGAGAAGGAUGAGCUCGCGGCCUAUCAGCUAGUUGGUGUGGGUAAUGGCCCACCAAGGCGACGACGGGUAGCCGGCCUGAGAGGGUGACCGGCCACACUGGGACUGAGACACGGCCCAGACUCCUACGGGAANCAG
This 233-nucleotide ribosomal RNA is filed under the name uncultured bacterium. RNAcentral's name for it is "partial 16S ribosomal RNA". It matches the Rfam family "Bacterial small subunit ribosomal RNA", at positions 118 to 351 of the family's 1533-position model. The record is from RNAcentral.